CUCUUUCAGCUGCCAACGUCCAUUUUGCCUGUCGCUUUCAUUUUCGACGUCUUCCGAUUGCUUGCCAGGUCCGUUCAGGUGCCAGUAUAGUCGGCAGCGGCAGCGGGGGCAGUGGGAGCGGCGGGGGAGGAAGAAGAAGAGGAAGAGCAGCAGGUAAAUGGAAGGAAAAUUGAAUAACUUUCAAGUGGGGGAUUUACCAACUGUGAUAUACAAGCCUGACUUUAUCACAGAGAGUGAAGAAAUGCAUCUUUUAGAUAGGGU
RNAcentral lists this unclassified non-coding RNA (261 nucleotides) under Hevea brasiliensis (rubber tree). Lineage: Eukaryota; Viridiplantae; Streptophyta; Magnoliopsida; Malpighiales; Euphorbiaceae. The record is from RNAcentral.